AUUGAACGCUGGCGGCAGGCCUAACACAUGCAAGUCGAGCGGAUGAAGGGAGCUUGCUCCUGGAUUCAGCGUCGGACGGGUGAGUAAUGCCUAGGAAUCUGCUUGCCAGUGGGUGAUAACGUCCGGAAACGGGCGCUAAUACCGCCUACUUCCUGAUGCAGAAGGAUGGUGAGCUUCGGACCUCACGCUAUCAUAUGAGCCUAGUUCGGAUUAGCUAGUUGGUGGGGUGAAGGCCUACCAAGGCGACGAUCCGUAACUGGUCGGAGAGGAUGAUCAGUCACACUGGAACUGAGCCACGGUCAAGACUCCUAAGGGAGGGAGCAGUGGGGAAUAUUAGACAACAGUCGAAAACCUGAUACAGUGAUGCCAAGUGUGAGAAGAAAGUCUUCGGAUUGUAAAGCACUUUAAGUUGGGAGAAAGGGCAGUAAGUUAAUACCUAGCUGUAUUGACGUUAACAACAGAAUAAGCACCGGCUAACUACGUG
This 484-nucleotide ribosomal RNA is filed under the name uncultured bacterium. RNAcentral describes it as "partial 16S ribosomal RNA". It matches the Rfam family "Bacterial small subunit ribosomal RNA", at positions 30 to 507 of the family's 1533-position model. The record is from RNAcentral.